AUCAUUGGCUUUUUCAUUUUUGUAGGAAGCUGAUUUAGUUUUGGGGGGUGAUGAUGGCAAGGAAUGUACCUACAACAAAGGUUAUAUGAAAAGGCAAGCAAUUUUCUCUUGCCUCACCUGUACUCCAGAUGGGAAUGCUGGAGUUUGCACAGCUUGUUCAUUGUCUUGCCAUGAUGGUCAUCAGCCUAGUGACGUUGAAAGUGAACCUGAAUCACCGUUAGAUGCUAGAGGAUCAUCUGGUGGUAGCAACUUGAAUAGCGAGUCUAAUAUUUAGACCUAGUUUCUUAUAUUGUAGACUUCUUUAGGUUAUCAUGGUUUUUGAAUUUAUAAAGUGUUGUAAAAACUUAGUUUCUUUUGGU
Molecule: non-coding RNA, 359 nt
Organism: Cajanus cajan (pigeon pea)
Lineage: Eukaryota; Viridiplantae; Streptophyta; Magnoliopsida; Fabales; Fabaceae
Source: RefSeq, a predicted model, not a curated record